AACGGUCUAUACCUGCGGUACCUGCGGAAGGAUCAUUAACGCGCCGUGGAGGUUGCCUUUAAACAGGUCUGACCUUCCACCUGGCCACCCUUGUUUAUCUUUAACCUGUUGCUUUGGUGGGCCCGCUGCAAGGCCGCUGGAGAAUUUAAAAGUUUUCUGGCCCGUGCCCACCAAAGUCCUAGUGAGCUCUUUGUUAAUUUUCUGCUGUCUGAGCAUUAAAAGAAACAAUUUUUAAAACUU
RNAcentral lists this unclassified non-coding RNA (240 nucleotides) under soil metagenome. RNAcentral describes it as "partial contains 5.8S ribosomal RNA, internal transcribed spacer 2, and large subunit ribosomal RNA". The record is from RNAcentral.